GCCCCAUCCGCUCACCCUGUCUCCUCUGCCUGCAGCCUUUGUCUUCCUGGAGUCUUCACAGCCCUCGAGGACACACUGCCCCGUACACCCGGAGAUGGAUGCCGUGUACGAGCUAGCCCGUCAGAUGGACGUGGUCAUCAAGGACCUAAAGAGAUACCUGGAUAGGCACAGCUUGGAGACAUCUGAGGACAGCGACAGCUCCUGGACUACCGUCACGGCCAGUGAAGUUGAGUCCUGUUCAAGCGUCUCUCUGUCCCCUUCGAGAGCAGAUUCCCACAAUUCCAUCAUGGCGAGCGCAGCCAGCUCAUCUACAGAGGAGUCUCUGUCCCCUUUGAGUGGUGACUCCAGGACUAAAAUCACGGCGAGCGAUGUUGGCUGCUCUUCACGAGA
Molecule: non-coding RNA, 390 nt
Organism: Phalacrocorax carbo (great cormorant)
Lineage: Eukaryota; Metazoa; Chordata; Aves; Suliformes; Phalacrocoracidae
Source: RefSeq, a predicted model, not a curated record